UAGGGUAUAAUGUAAUUCAGGUAACAUAUUUACUUUGGGUGUAAAAAAUUGUAAGUUCAAUUCUUACUACCCUAA
RNAcentral lists this transfer RNA (75 nucleotides) under Gredgaria maugeana. RNAcentral describes it as "tRNA-Pro". It matches the Rfam family "tRNA". Rfam says of the family: Transfer RNA (tRNA) molecules are approximately 80 nucleotides in length. Their secondary structure includes four short double-helical elements and three loops (D, anti-codon, and T loops). Further hydrogen bonds mediate the characteristic L-shaped molecular structure. tRNAs have two regions of fundamental functional importance: the anti-codon, which is responsible for specific mRNA codon recognition, and the 3' end, to which the tRNAs corresponding amino acid is attached (by aminoacyl-tRNA synthetases). tRNAs cope with the degeneracy of the genetic code in two manners: having more than one tRNA (with a specific anti-codon) for a particular amino acid; and 'wobble' base-pairing, i.e. permitting non-standard base-pairing at the 3rd anti-codon position. The record is from RNAcentral. Lineage: Eukaryota; Rhodophyta; Florideophyceae; Ceramiales; Rhodomelaceae.